UGCGCAGGCGGCCGUGUGUGUCAGGUGUGAAAUCCCGGGGCUUAACCCCGGAACUGCGCCUGAAACUACAUGGCUAGAGUAUUGGAGAGGGUAGCGGAAUUCACGGUGUAGCAGUGAAAUGCGUAGAUAUCGUGAGGAACACCAGAGGCGGAGGCGGCUACCUGGACAAUUACUGACGCUCAGGCACGAAAGCGUGGGGAGCAAAAGGGAUUAGAUACCCCUGUAGUCCACGCCCUAAACGGUGCACACUAGGUCUUGGCGGAUUCGACCCCACCAGGGCCCAAGCUAACGCGUUAAGUGUGCCGCCUGAGGACUACGGCCGCAAGGCUAAA
Molecule: ribosomal RNA, 332 nt
Filed under: uncultured bacterium
Lineage: Bacteria
Description: bacterial SSU rRNA
Rfam family: Bacterial small subunit ribosomal RNA
Source: RNAcentral